Molecule: ribosomal RNA, 498 nt
Filed under: uncultured bacterium
Lineage: Bacteria
Description: partial 16S ribosomal RNA
Rfam family: Bacterial small subunit ribosomal RNA
Source: RNAcentral
GACGAACGCUGGCGGCGUGCCUAAUACAUGCAAGUCGAACGAGAGCGACCGGUGCUUGCACUGGUCAAUCUAGUGGCGAACGGGUGAGUAACACGUGGGUAACCUGCCCAUCAGAGGGGGAUAACAUUCGGAAACGGAUGCUAAAACCGCAUAGGUCUUCGAACCGCAUGGUUUGAAGAGGAAAAGAGGCGCAAGCUUCUGCUGAUGGAUGGACCCGCGGUGCAUUAGCUAGUUGGUGAGGUAACGGCUCACCAAGGCCGUGAUGCAUAGCCGACCUGAGAGAGUGAUCGGCCACAUUGGGACUGAGACACGGACCAAACUCCUACGGGAGGCAGCAGUAGGGAAUCUUACGCAAUGGACGCAAGUCUGACGGAGCAACGCCGCGUGAGUGAAGAAGGUGUUCGGAUCGUAAAACUCUGUUGUUAGAGAAGAAUAAGUGCUAGAGUAACUGUUAGCGCCUUGACGGUAUCUAACCAGAAAGCCACGGCUAACUACGUG